GCCCAGACUCCUACGGGAGGCAGCAGUGGGGAAUAUUGCACAAUGGGCGGAAGCCUGAUGCAGCGACGCCGCGUGAGGGAUGAAGGCCUUCGGGUUGUAAACCUCUUUCAGCAGGGACGAAGCGUGAGUGACGGUACCUGCAGAAGAAGCACCGGCUAACUACG
Molecule: ribosomal RNA, 164 nt
Filed under: uncultured bacterium
Lineage: Bacteria
Description: partial 16S ribosomal RNA
Rfam family: Bacterial small subunit ribosomal RNA
Source: RNAcentral